CUUUAGGACUGAGAGCACAACAGCCCGUAUGAACUGGAUACUGUUUAGAGCUAAUGUAAUGCUGGAGUCCUAAAAAGGUGCUUACAGCAGCCAGAAAGGAGUUACAGAACAUGGCAACUUCUCACUGCAUAGGGAUACAAAAAAUGGCCUAGAAAUGUCUUUUCCAGAUGGAGCACUCUGCAUCAAAGGGGGACUUCAUAACCCUAUGAAGGGUGACACUGAGGUCCCAUGCUGGAACAGAGCCAGUAACAAAUGGAUUUGUACUCACACGGCCUUAAGGAAUUUGGAUGACGUUGGACUGGAGAAGAUGGAGUGGGAUUGUUUGUGAAUGGCAUGCAAAUAUUGCUGCCAGCUGGACCAUACUUGAAAUAAAGGAACCCAGUGUGAUUUGAAUUGCAGUAAGUAAGUAGUCCAGAAUAUUUGAUACCAAGGCCUGUACUGGCUCCAGCCUGCUUAGGGCCAAUCAUAUCAAGAAUCAAAGAGGUUUUCCUUGUGGGAAAUUUCCUGCUCUAAGAUCUCCUGACCAUGCAAAGAAUAAUCUUUUCCACAGUGCUCAGCCACCCAUAUCCAGGCCAUUAGGGAGCAACUUAGAGUCAGGCGGAGAAUCUGGCCUUGAUUCUGUGACAAUAACUCAGGGGUAGUCUGGAGUUUAAACCAGUCGCUAACACAGGGGUGGGCAAAAGCCUUUCUGGCCUGCAAGGCAGUUUCAGGCCCCACCCCCUAGCUCCUUGCCUGGAGCAAGAGAGGGGCACAACCCUUCAAAUUGCUUCUAUUUAAAGGGCUCGAGUCUUCCCCGCACCUUGCCUAGCAGCUCCGGGAGAGGCACAAUCCCUUUAAAUAGAAACAGCUGAAAGGGCUGGGGGUCUCUGGUUCCCUAGCAACAUGCUAGAGGCAGGCGAGAACUGAGCCCUCCCAGCUGUUUCUAUUUAAAGCGCUCUCCUGUUCCCCUGUUGCGUUGCCUAGCAGCGGUGGGGAAGGCAGCUGCCCUUUAUACAGAAACAGCUGAAAGGGCUUGCAGCUGCCCCAGCCUCUAGCAUGUUGCUGGACUGCGAUCCCUUUCAGCUGUUUCUAUUUAAAGGGCUCAUGCCUUCCCCAGGACUGCUAGACAACGCAUUGCCUAGCAGCCCAGGGAACCAGGAGAGCCCUUUAAAUAGAAAGAGCUGAAAGAGAUUGUGGUGUAGUGUUUUAGUACCUUGUUGGUUAUGAUGCUUGGGCUGUGGGAGAUGGCCCAGCAGGGGUUAUCCUGCCGCUCCCAAGAUGGUAGCAAAACCGAUUAUACAAGUUAAGGGAAGAGAGGGACAAAGGACUUGUCGGUGGGGGGAGAGCCAGUUGCUGUCUGGGAAGCAUGGAGAGAACAGGCUAAGCUGGGGGCUGGGGGUGAUGAA
Molecule: non-coding RNA, 1385 nt
Organism: Pelodiscus sinensis (Chinese soft-shelled turtle)
Lineage: Eukaryota; Metazoa; Chordata; Testudines; Trionychidae
Source: RefSeq, a predicted model, not a curated record